CAAGUCGUUUAAUAUGGUGAACCAUGACUCAUCCCACAGAACAGAUGAGUAAUGGAAAAGUUUGGAGAUUUCAUCUUACAUCAUAUCUGUGCUAAAACCUGAAGAAAUAGUGGAAAUAACAGAAACUGCAGCUACCCAUUGGCCAGUACAACAGUUGGUUACAAUGGAAACACUGGAUGCAGGCUGGUGGACAGACAUCACAGACCUGCACAUGCUGAACAUGAACAUUUGCGCCCACCUGGCUGAGCCAAUCAGUGCCA
Molecule: long non-coding RNA, 260 nt
Organism: Xiphophorus maculatus (southern platyfish)
Lineage: Eukaryota; Metazoa; Chordata; Actinopteri; Cyprinodontiformes; Poeciliidae
Exons: 3
Source: RefSeq, a predicted model, not a curated record